AGCAUGGCCUAUCUUUCGGGAUGGGCCGAUGGCGACCGGCGCACGGGUGAGUAACGCGUAUCCAACCUUCCCUUUACUGGGGUCCAGCCCGUCGAAAGGCGGAUUAAUCCCCCAUGUUCUCCGUCCCGGACAUCUGUGUCGGAGCAAAGAUUUAUCGGUAAAGGAUGGGGAUGCGUCCGAUUAGCUUGUUGGCGGGGUAACGGCCCACCAAGGCAUCGAUCGGUAGGGGUUCUGAGAGGAAGGUCCCCCACACUGGAACUGAGACACGGUCCAGACUCCUACGGGAGGCAGCAGUGAGGAAUAUUGGUCAAUGGCCGUAAGGCUGAACCAGCCAAGUAGCGUGAGGGAAGACUGCCCUAUGGGUUGUAAACCUCUUUUAUGCGGGGAUAAAGGUGUCCACGUGUGGAUGUUUGCAGGUACCGCAUGAAUAAGGACCGGCUAAUUCCGUGCCAGCAGCCGCGGUAAUACGGAAGGUCCGGGCGUUAUCCGGAUUUAUUGGGUUUAAAGGGUGCGUAGGCGGGCAUUUAAGCCGGCGGUCAAAUGUCGGGGCUCAACCCCGGCCUGCCGUCGGAACUGGGUGCCUUGAGUGGGCGAGAAGUAUGCGGAAUGCGUGGUGUAGCGGUGAAAUGCAUAGAUAUCACGCAGAACUCCGAUUGCGAAGGCAGCGUACCGGCGCCCAACUGACGCUGAAGCACGAAGGCGUGGGUAUCGAACAGGAUUAGAUACCCUGGUAGUCCACGCAGUAAACGAUGAAUGCUAGUUGUCCGGGGCGAUUGAGUUCUGGGUGACACAGCGAAAGCGUUAAGCAUUCCACCUGGGGAGUACGCCGGCAACGGUGAAACUCAAAGGAAUUGACGGGGG
This 861-nucleotide ribosomal RNA is filed under the name uncultured bacterium. RNAcentral describes it as "bacterial SSU rRNA". It matches the Rfam family "Bacterial small subunit ribosomal RNA", at positions 65 to 919 of the family's 1533-position model. The record is from RNAcentral.